GAUGAACGCUAGCGGCAGGCCUAAUACAUGCAAGUCGUACGGGAUUUCAUCUUUCGGGAUGAAUGAGAGUGGCGCACGGGUGCGUAACGCGUAUGCAACCUACCUGUUACAGGGAGAUAGCCCGGGGAAACUCGGAUUAAUAUUCCAUAGUAUAUAAUCGUUGCAUGGUGAUUAUAUUAAAGCCUUCGGGUGGUAACAGAUGGGCAUGCGUAGGAUUAGCUAGUUGGCGAGGUAACGGCUCACCAAGGCGACGAUCCUUAGGGGUUCUGAGAGGAAGGUCCCCCACACUGGCACUGAGAUACGGGCCAGACUCCUACGGGAGGCAGCAGUAGGGAAUAUUGGUCAAUGGGCGAGAGCCUGAACCAGCCAUGCCGCGUGCAGGAAGNNNNNUUCUGCGUUGUAAACUGCUUUUAUCUGGGAAGAAAAAGCCCUUGCGAGGGAAAUUGCC
RNAcentral lists this ribosomal RNA (448 nucleotides) under Bacteroidetes bacterium C-1. RNAcentral's name for it is "bacterial SSU rRNA". It matches the Rfam family "Bacterial small subunit ribosomal RNA", at positions 28 to 473 of the family's 1533-position model. The record is from RNAcentral. Lineage: Bacteria; Pseudomonadati; Bacteroidota.